CAAUUUUGUCGUCGGGUAAGUAUCUUAUCGGGCUUUUUAGGUCGUCGACAUUAAAAUAUAGAGGAGUGCUGUUAAUGGCCCGUAUCGCUGGCAUUAACAUUCCUGAA
Regulatory RNA element from Alteromonas confluentis, 107 nucleotides. It matches the Rfam family "Alpha operon ribosome binding site". From Rfam's summary of the family: The bacterial alpha operon ribosome binding site is surrounded by this complex pseudoknotted structure. Translation of the mRNA produces 4 ribosomal protein products, one of which (S4) acts as a translational repressor by binding to the nested pseudoknot region. The record is from Rfam. NCBI's taxonomy places the organism in Bacteria, Pseudomonadati, Pseudomonadota, Gammaproteobacteria, Alteromonadales, Alteromonadaceae.